Molecule: long non-coding RNA, 225 nt
Organism: Ficedula albicollis (Collared flycatcher)
Lineage: Eukaryota; Metazoa; Chordata; Aves; Passeriformes; Muscicapidae
Exons: 3
Source: RefSeq, a predicted model, not a curated record
AAUGGCCAGAGGAUCCACAGGGAUGAAAGUACUCUGAAGGUAGGAAGAAUAUACACCUGGCAGAGUAAUGACCUGAGAGAUUUGAAAGAGCAGCCUGAGGUGUAAAGAGCCAAGUGUGGGUUGUGGAGGUCACUGCGGUAUGAGCCUGGGAUGCCUCAGCCUUAAAUGGGAUCAUCCUAGCUUGAAUGGGGCUGUGUAUUCCUUCUCCUGAUAGCUGCUGACACA